RNAcentral lists this ribosomal RNA (497 nucleotides) under uncultured bacterium. RNAcentral describes it as "partial 16S ribosomal RNA". It matches the Rfam family "Bacterial small subunit ribosomal RNA", at positions 28 to 507 of the family's 1533-position model. The record is from RNAcentral.
GAUGAACGCUGGCGGCGUGCCUAAUACAUGCAAGUCGAGCGAACGGACGAGAAGCUUGCUCCUCUGACGUUAGCGGCGGACGGGUGAGUAACACGUGGAUAACCUACCUAUAAGACUGGGAUAACUUCGGGAAACCGGAGCUAAUACCGGAUAAUAUUUUGAACCGCAUGGUUCAAAAGUGAAAGACGGUCUUGCUGUCACUUAUAGAUGGAUCCGCGCUGCAUUAGCUAGUUGGUAAGGUAACGGCUUACCAAGGCAACGAUGCAUAGCCGACCUGAGAGGGUGAUCGGCCACACUGGAACUGAGACACGGUCCAGACCCCUACGGGAGGCAGCAGUAGGGAAUCUUCCGCAAUGGGCGAAAGCCUGACGGAGCAACGCCGCGUGAGUGAUGAAGGUCUUCGGAUCGUAAAACUCUGUUAUUAGGGAAGAACAAAUGUGUAAGUAACUGUGCACAUCUUGACGGUACCUAAUCAGAAAGCCACGGCUAACUACGUG